RNAcentral lists this ribosomal RNA (396 nucleotides) under uncultured bacterium. RNAcentral's name for it is "bacterial SSU rRNA". It matches the Rfam family "Bacterial small subunit ribosomal RNA", at positions 361 to 774 of the family's 1533-position model. The record is from RNAcentral.
AUAUUGGACAAUGGGCGCAAGCCUGAUCCAGCCAUGCCGCGUGAGUGAUGAAGGCCUUAGGGUUGUAAAGCUCUUUCACCGAUGAAGAUAAUGACGGUAGUCGGAGAAGAAGCCCCGGCUAACUUCGUGCCAGCAGCCGCGGUAAUACGAAGGGGGCUAGCGUUGUUCGGAAUUACUGGGCGUAAAGCGCACGUAGGCGGAUAUUUAAGUCAGGGGUGAAAUCCCAGAGCUCAACUCUGGAACUGCCUUUGAUACUGGGUAUCUUGAGUAUGGAAGAGGUAAGUGUAAUUCCGAGUGUAGAGGUGAAAUUCGUAGAUAUUCGGAGGAACACCAGUGGCGAAGGCGGCUUACUGGUCCAUUACUGACGCUGAGGUGCGAAAGCGUGGGGAGCAAACA